GACGAACGCUGGCGGCGUGCUUAACACAUGCAAGUCGAACGGAAAGGCCCUGCUUUUGUGGGGUGCUCGAGUGGCGAACGGGUGAGUAACACGUGAGUAACCUGCCCUUGACUUUGGGAUAACUUCAGGAAACUGGGGCUAAUACCGGAUAGGAGCUCCUGCCGCAUGGUGGGGGUUGGAAAGUUUCGGCGGUUGGGGAUGGACUCGCGGCUUAUCAGCUUGUUGGUGGGGUAGUGGCUUACCAAGGCUUUGACGGGUAGCCGGCCUGAGAGGGUGACCGGCCACAUUGGGACUGAGAUACGGCCCAGACUCCUACGGGAGGCAGCAGUGGGGAAUAUUGCACAAUGGGCGGAAGCCUGAUGCAGCAACGCCGCGUGCGGGAUGACGGCCUUCGGGUUGUAAACCGCUUUCGCCUGUGACGAAGCGUGAGUGACGGUAAUGGGUAAAGAAGCACCGGCUAACUACGUGCCAGCAGCCGCGGUGAUACGUAGGGUGCGAGCGUUGUCCGGAUUUAUUGGGCGUAAAGGGCUCGUAGGUGGUUGAUCGCGUCGGAAGUGUAAUCUUGGGGCUUAACCCUGAGCGUGCUUUCGAUACGGGUUGACUUGAGGAAGGUAGGGGAGAAUGGAAUUCCUGGUGGAGCGGUGGAAUGCGCAGAUAUCAGGAGGAACACCAGUGGCGAAGGCGGUUCUCUGGGCCUUUCCUGACGCUGAGGAGCGAAAGCGUGGGGAGCGAACAGGCUUAGAUACCCUGGUAGUCCACGCUGUAAACGGUGGGUACUAGGUGUGGGGUCCAUUCCACGGGUUCCGUGCCGUAGCUAACGCUUUAAGUACCCCGCCUGGGGAGUACGGCCGCAAGGCUAAAACUCAAAGGAAUUGACGGGGCCCCGCACAAGCGGCGGAGCAUGCGGAUUAAUUCGAUGCAACGCGUAGAACCUUACCUGGGUUUGACAUGGAUCGGGAGUGCUCAGAGAUGGGUGUGCCUCUUUUGGGGUCGGUUCACAGGUGGUGCAUGCCUGUCGUCAGCUCGUGUCGUGAGAUGUUGGGUUAAGUCCCGCAACGAGCGCAACCCUUGUUCACUGUUGCCAGCACGUUAUGGUGGGGACUCAGUGGAGACCGCCGGGGUCAACUCGGAGGAAGGUGGGGAUGACGUCAAGUCCUCAUGCCCCUUAUGUCCAGGGCUUCACGCAUGCUACAAUGGCUGGUACAGAGAGUGGCGAGCCUGUGAGGGUGAGCGAAUCUCGGAAAGCCGGUCUCAGUUCGGAUUGGGGUCUGCAACUCGACCUCAUGAAGUCGGAGUCGCUAGUAAUCGCAGAUCAGCAACGCUGCGGUGAAUACGUUCCCGGG
Molecule: ribosomal RNA, 1343 nt
Filed under: uncultured bacterium
Lineage: Bacteria
Description: 16S ribosomal RNA
Rfam family: Bacterial small subunit ribosomal RNA
Source: RNAcentral